UUCUGUAAGCCUGUGAAGGUGGCCUGUGAGGGUUGCUGGAGGUAUCAGAAGUGCGAAUGCUGACAUAAGUAACGAUAAAGCGGGUGAAAAGCCCGCUCGCCGGAAGACCAAGGGUUCCUGUCCAACGUUAAUCGGGGCAGGGUGAGUCGACCCCUAAGGCGAGGCCGAAAGGCGUAGUCGAUGGGAAACGGGUUAAUAUUCCCGUACUUGGUGUUACUGCGAAGGGGGGACGGAGAAGGCUAUGUUGGCCGGGCGACGGUUGUCCCGGUUUAAGCGUGUAGGUGUGUGUUCCAGGUAAAUCCGGUUCACUUUAACACUGAGGCGUGAUGACGAGGCACUACGGUGCUGAAGCAACAAAUGCCCUGCUUCCAGGAAAAGCCUCUAAGCAUCAGGUAACAUCAAAUCGUACCCCAAACCGACACAGGUGGUCAGGUAGAGAAUACCAAGGCGCUUGAGAGAACUCGGGUGAAGGAACUAGGCAAAAUGGUGCCGUAACUUCGGGAGAAGGCACGCUGACACGUAGGUGAAGUGAUUUACUCAUGGAGCUGAAGUCAGUCGAAGAUACCAGCUGGCUGCAACUGUUUAUUAAAAACACAGCACUGUGCAAACACGAAAGUGGACGUAUACGGUGUGACGCCUGCCCGGUGCCGGAAGGUUAAUUGAUGGGGUCAGCGCAAGCGAAGCUCCUGAUCGAAGCCCCGGUAAACGGCGGCCGUAACUAUAACGGUCCUAAGGUAGCGAAAUUCCUUGUCGGGUAAGUUCCGACCUGCACGAAUGGCGUAAUGAUGGCCAGGCUGUCUCCACCCGAGACUCAGUGAAAUUGAACUCGCUGUGAAGAUGCAGUGUACCCGCGGCAAGACGGAAAGACCCCGUGAACCUUUACUAUAGCUUGACACUGAACAUUGAGCCUUGAUGUGUAGGAUAGGUGGGAGGCUUUGAAGUGUGGACGCCAGUCUGCAUGGAGCCGGCCUUGAAAUACCACCCUUUAAUGUUUGAUGUUCUAACGUGGACCCGUGAUCCGGGUUGCGGACAGUGUCUGGUGGGUAGUUUGACUGGGGCGGUCUCCUCCUAAAGAGUAACGGAGGAGCACGAAGGUUGGCUAAUCCUGGUCGGACAUCAGGAGGUUAGUGCAAUGGCAUAAGCCAGCUUGACUGCGAGCGUGACGGCGCGAGCAGGUGCGAAAGCAGGUCAUAGUGAUCCGGUGGUUCUGAAUGGAAGGGCCAUCGCUCAACGGAUAAAAGGUACUCCGGGGAUAACAGGCUGAUACCGCCCAAGAGUUCAUAUCGACGGCGGUGUUUGGCACCUCGAUGUCGGCUCAUCACAUCCUGGGGCUGAAGUAGGUCCCAAGGGUAUGGCUGUUCGCCAUUUAAAGUGGUACGCGAGCUGGGUUUAGAACGUCGUGAGACAGUUCGGUCCCUAUCUGCCGUGGGCGCUGGAGAACUGAGGGGGGCUGCUCCUAGUACGAGAGGACCGGAGUGGACGCAUCACUGGUGUUCGGGUUGUCAUGCCAAUGGCACUGCCCGGUAGCUAAAUGCGGAAGAGAUAAGUGCUGAAAGCAUCUAAGCACGAAACUUGCCCCGA
RNAcentral lists this ribosomal RNA (1581 nucleotides) under Salmonella enterica. RNAcentral's name for it is "partial 23S ribosomal RNA". It matches the Rfam family "Bacterial large subunit ribosomal RNA", at positions 1239 to 2802 of the family's 2925-position model. Lineage: Bacteria; Pseudomonadati; Pseudomonadota; Gammaproteobacteria; Enterobacterales; Enterobacteriaceae. The record is from RNAcentral.